RNAcentral lists this ribosomal RNA (407 nucleotides) under uncultured bacterium. RNAcentral describes it as "partial 16S ribosomal RNA". It matches the Rfam family "Bacterial small subunit ribosomal RNA", at positions 28 to 526 of the family's 1533-position model. The record is from RNAcentral.
GACGAACGCUGGCGGCAUGCCUAAUACAUGCAAGUAGAACGCAGUUGCGAACGGGUGAGUAACGCGUAGGUAACUGCCUGGUAGCGGGGGAUAACUAUUGGAAACGAUAGCUAAUACCGCAUACUACCAGCUGGACCUGCGUUGUAUUAGCUAGUUGGUGGGGUAACGGCCCAACAAGGCAACGAUACAUAACCUACCUGAGAGGGAGAUCGGCCACACUGGGACUGAGACAAGGCCCAGACUCCUACGGGAGGCAGCAGUAGGGAAUCUUCGGCAAUGGGGGGAACCCUGACCAAGCAACUGCGCGUGAGUGAAGAAGGUUUUCGGAUCGUAAAGCUCUGUUGUUAAGGAAGCGGUACUUAACCAGAAAGGGACGGCUAACUACGUGCCAGCCGCCGCGGUAAUUC